This 275-nucleotide ribosomal RNA is filed under the name uncultured bacterium. RNAcentral describes it as "partial 16S ribosomal RNA". It matches the Rfam family "Bacterial small subunit ribosomal RNA", at positions 80 to 354 of the family's 1533-position model. The record is from RNAcentral.
UUUCUCCGCCGGCGACCGGCGCACGGGUGAGUAACACGUAUGCAACCUGCCCCUGUCAGGGGGACAACCCGCCGAAAGGCGGGCUAAACCCGCGUACAUGCCACCGGGGCAUCCCGGAGGCAGGAAAGGCUUCGGCCGGACAGGGAUGGGCAUGCGGCGCAUUAGGCAGUAGGCGGGGUAACGGCCCACCUAACCGGCGAUGCGUAGGGGUUCUGAGAGGAAGGUCCCCCACACUGGUACUGAGACACGGACCAGACUCCUACGGGAGGCAGCAG